CAACCCUGAGUACAGUGGCGCACGGGUGCGUAACACGUAGGCAAUCUGCCCUCAGGCGGGGGAUAACCAUCCGAAAGGAUGGCUAAUACCGCGUAAGAAACCACGGUCGCUCCGGCGACAGGGGUAAAAGCUGGCCUCUACUUGUAAGCUAGCACCAGAGGAGGAGCCUGCGGCCCAUCAGCUUGUUGGCGAGGUAACGGCUCACCAAGGCGAAGACGGGUAGCUGGUCUGAGAGGAUGAUCAGCCACACUGGCACUGAAACACGGGCCAGACUCCUACGGGAGGCAGCAGUGGGGAAUAUUGGACAAUGGGCGAAAGCCUGAUCCAGCGACGCCGCGUGGGUGAUGAAGGCCUUCGGGUCGUAAAGCCCUGUGGGAAGGAAAGAAAACGUUGCGGGCGAACAGGCCGCGACCUUGACGGUACCUUCUCAGAAAGCACCGGCUAACUCUGUGCCAGCAGCCGCGGUAA
RNAcentral lists this ribosomal RNA (468 nucleotides) under uncultured delta proteobacterium. RNAcentral describes it as "bacterial SSU rRNA". It matches the Rfam family "Bacterial small subunit ribosomal RNA", at positions 81 to 523 of the family's 1533-position model. Lineage: Bacteria; Deltaproteobacteria. The record is from RNAcentral.